GCUGGGCGCGGUGGCGUGUGCCUGUAGUCCCAACUACUCGGGAGGCUGAGGUGGGAGGAUCGCUUGAGCCCAGGAGUUCUGGGCUGUAGUGCGCUAUGCCGAUCGGGUGUCUGCACUAAGUUCGGCAUCAAUAUGGUGACCUCCUGGGAGCAGGGACCACCAGGUUGCCUAAGGAGGGAUGAACUGGCCCAGGUCGGAAAUGGAGCAGGUCAAAACUCCCGUGCUGAUCAGUAGUGGGAUCGCGCCUGUGAACAUCCACUGCACUCCAGCCUGGGCAACAUAGCCAGACCCUGUCUCCU
Molecule: signal recognition particle RNA, 299 nt
Filed under: Aotus nancymaae (Ma's night monkey)
Lineage: Eukaryota; Metazoa; Chordata; Mammalia; Primates; Aotidae
Description: Metazoan signal recognition particle RNA (ENSANAG00000003893.1)
Rfam family: Metazoan signal recognition particle RNA
About the family: The signal recognition particle (SRP) is a universally conserved ribonucleoprotein. It is involved in the co-translational targeting of proteins to membranes. The eukaryotic SRP consists of a 300-nucleotide 7S RNA and six proteins: SRPs 72, 68, 54, 19, 14, and 9.
Source: Rfam by way of RNAcentral